Long non-coding RNA from Homo sapiens (human), 2238 nucleotides. The record is from Ensembl. NCBI's taxonomy places the organism in Eukaryota, Metazoa, Chordata, Mammalia, Primates, Hominidae.
AGAGGCGACGCUGGCAGCCGUCUCUUAGGAGAUUUCUCCGCAGUGUGGACGGGGGUCAGGAUUUGCAGGCGAGCAAGGGCAGAGAGGAGAAAUCGUACAGAAAAAUUUUUGGUUUGUUUUUGUAUUUACGCAUGGAGGAACUGAAGCUUGGCGAGAACAAGAGUGAAUUUUGGCCCAAGGUCACACAGAUGGUAAGUGGCACAUCAGGGGUUAGAACCCAGUCUGGCUGUCAAUAAAACUGUACCCACCCAGGUGCUUCUCCAAGGGCUGAAAAUCUGCCUCAUUUGUCUAACAGGCUGCCCAAGUCCCCUUAGAUCAUGAGAGGGACAAGUGACCAGGCAAAACAAGGGGGAGGUUUUGUUUCCUCUAGAGGGGAAGAAAACAUGUAGCCCCUAUCUAGAGAAAAAUCCUCUCCAUGGUUUCCCCAAACACAUUCCACCAAAGAGAACUUCGUCUUUAAUAAUGUUCCCAUUUUGCUCCCAUUUUGGUCCAGCAUGUAAGAAAGUCUCUAUGAAUGGUAUUUUGAGUGGCGGGCAGAGAAGCAAGUAGGGCAGGGAGUAUUAUCUUAGGGUAGGAUAACUUGAAAGAUAUGAGAUUGCUUUUACUAUCAUAUUAGCUUCCCUGCCCAUCAUCAGAGUCAAUUCUGCUAGCCUUGCUCUCUAGCAAGGAGCCUCUCCAUUCCCCAUCAAUCCAUGCAUUUCUUUCCCAAGGCUGAACCAUAUCUGGAAAACAGCCAUGUUCCAUAUAGUUCCUGGGAAGGCUAGGCCUCAACACCACACAUCUUGGAUCAGAUCAGUACCUCCCUAUUGGUGCAACUGUUGGGGAAUAGGAGUUUUUAUUCUAUUAAAGUUUUGGAGACACUCAUGGAGCAGGAAUUUUGAAUAGGCAGAAAACAUUAUUAUAAUAGUAGCUACUGUUAAUACUACUGGAUAUCUGGCAUUAUUCCAGGUGAAUUAAAUGUAUUUAUUCUUAUAAUUCAGUCCUUUCAACAAUUAUAAAAAUAUAUGUUAUUGUCCUCAUUUUUAUAUAUAGGAGGAAACUGAGUCUCAGAGGGUUUAAGGUUGUAUUUGCUGAAGGUCUCAUUGUUGGUAUUAGUUAGAAUUAGCUUUGACUGCAAGUGACAGGAACACAAGAUUGGCUAAAACAAAAUGUGAGUUGUAUUUUCCUCUCUCACGCCACACAGGGUUAGGGUCAGGCUUCCCAAUUGUCAAAUUGCACCUCAUGUUUCUCUGCCAUCCGCCACACAGGGGUUCUGUCUGAUGGUCCAAGAUGGCUGCAGUGGGUCACCACCUACUCUCUAGUAGGAGGAAACAAAGGGAGAAGAGAAUUUCCACUUCUCUUAAGGACACUUCUUGGAAGUGACAAACACUACUUCUACUUGCAACCAUCGAUCCGAGCUAUAUCUCAAAGACUUGCCCAGCUGCAAGAGAGACUGAUAAACAUAAUCUAUUCUGGGUGGCUACGUGUCCAGCUAAAUUCAGGAUUUAUGUUUUUGAGGAAGAAGGGGAAAAGGGAUGUUGAAAGACAAUUAGCAGUCUGGCACAGAAGGGAUGUGGACUCAGGGCUAUGUGGUCCAGAGACUAGAACCUUUCCGUCAUCUCACACUGCUUCUUGAGCACCUUGGCAGCCAAGGAGAGGAGGCAGAGUGCCAAAGAUAGUUUUUCUGUGUGUCCUGAGGUGGCCUGAGGGCCUCUGAAAGUCAGCCUCUGAGACACAUGCUAUAGGCUGUCUUAGAUAUUUCCUCGAUUUUUUGCUCCCCCAGCAUUUUGAAUACGUUUAUAUAUUCAUCCAUAUGUUAUCAUUGUUUAUUUUCAGUUUUCCUGAAUCAAACAUUGGCAAAUUGGUAACAUUCAUUACAUGAAUGACUGAAUUGAUGAAACGGCCAAUUUUGUUUUUUUUUAUCUCUAGCAUAAUGUCUAGCAUUUUACAGGUAUUCAACAAAUAUAUGUUUAUUGAAUGGAUGCCUGGAGAGCCAACAACUUUCCUAAUUCAAUUUUUUUUCUAAUUUUGAGUAAGCACAGCCUACUUUCUCAGCAUAUCCUUUUCUCUUCCAGGAUGGGAGAAGAGAGAAAACAGAAAAGACAAUAGAAAAAGAAAAAAUGGGACAAGGUAUAUUUAUUAUACAAGUUCUCUCAUCCCUUACUUUCUUCUCUCCAUUUAUUUUUGAUACCACAAUCAUGAAUUUUCCUAUCCAAAUGGACUUCCAUAAUACUCUUUGAGGAAUGGCCUAAGAAUGCU